GAUGAACGCUGGCGGCGUGCUUAACACAUGCAAGUCGAACGAAGCACCUUGAUUUGAUUCUUCGGAUGAAGAUCUUGGUGACUGAGUGGCGGACGGGUGAGUAACGCGUGGGUAACCUGCCUCAUACAGGGGGAUAACAGUUAGAAAUGACUGCUAAUACCGCAUAAGACCACAGCACCGCAUGGUGCAGGGGUAAAAACUCCGGUGGUAUGAGAUGGACCCGCGUCUGAUUAGGUAGUUGGUGGGGUAACGGCCUACCAAGCCGACGAUCAGUAGCCGACCUGAGAGGGUGACCGGCCACAUUGGGACUGAGACACGGCCCAAACUCCUACGGGAGGCAGCAGUGGGGAAUAUUGUACAAUGGGGGAAACCCUGAUGCAGCGACGCCGCGUGAGCGAUGAAGUAUUUCGGUAUGUAAAGCUCUAUCAGCAGGGAAGAAAAUGACGGUACCUGACUAAGAAGCACCGGCUAAAUACGUG
RNAcentral lists this ribosomal RNA (479 nucleotides) under uncultured bacterium. RNAcentral describes it as "partial 16S ribosomal RNA". It matches the Rfam family "Bacterial small subunit ribosomal RNA", at positions 28 to 507 of the family's 1533-position model. The record is from RNAcentral.